AUUUGAUGGUACAACUCAAAGGCCACCCUCUUUGUGAAGCCUCCCGUGACUAAAAAUACUCAUUCUGGAAAUGAAAAUAGAAAGCACGACAUCAUGCCCACCCUCCUAGAAGUGAAAGUAGAAAGCCUGCCAUCAUACACAUCAUCCCUCCUCAGUAAAGCAAACAUUACACAUACAAAGCCCUACAAAGCUUAUGGCUGAAAGGAGGAAAAGUAAAUGAGGCUGAAGAGAGUAUUUUGCUUAGUAAGGCAGGAGAACAGAUUGCUUUCAAGAGUUUUAAUCCCAUGAGGCGUGCGAUUAUCUCAUGUGAUCCUCAUAACAACCCUCGGAGGACCAAGAAAUGACAACGAGUGUUCUCUCUAUCCGAAGCAAAGGAGGAGGAAAAAUACUACACAGACAACAAAUUUAUCUUGCUUGCUUAGGAAACUUGGAGUAUGAUAACUACAAACACCCCAGACCUCAGGAGCAAAACAGCAGGAAAUAAAAUCAGGAUGGAAGAGGCAAAAUGUUGCCACAUGGACUCCCAGAAAUGUCCAGCCCCUUUCCAAGAACAGCCUCCUACAAGCUAGAGAUACAAUAAUGAAUACUGCACGUGAACAUUCUUUUUGCUUCCUGAUCUUUUUGAAGAUUUCAAAAAGUAGAAGUUUCCCUUACCACCGGAACACACUGCUGGGAGAAAAGGCUAUUCAUCUCCACCAGGAGCGUGGACUCCACCGCCUGAUGGAUGGUUUUUGCCUCAUUCUGCGGGGCCACUUUCAGGCCUUCUCCAAGCCAUGCUAUGCAGCCUCUCUGCAGACCACCGCCUCCUCAGUGUCUUGACUUCAAGGUCUGUUCAAAGUAUGGAAAAUUUUUUCAAAUAUACAUCUGGAGAAAAUUAGCAAAGACAAUGGCGCUUCUCAUACUUUUCACAGAAAAUGAGGCAGUAAAGAAUUACCAAAGUAAGCCUUUGAGAAUCUAUAUUUGA
This 964-nucleotide long non-coding RNA is filed under the name Vombatus ursinus (common wombat). RNAcentral's name for it is "lncRNA (ENSVURG00010004501.1)". Lineage: Eukaryota; Metazoa; Chordata; Mammalia; Diprotodontia; Vombatidae. The record is from RNAcentral.